UUCUCUCAUUCUCUCUCUAUUUUCUCUCUCUAGAGAAGCUCCAUUGCGACAAGUAUAUCCAUCGUUAAAAGUUGUUUCUAGGGUUUUUGAAAUUCGUCCCUGUAGCAGCACAACGAAAAAGGGGGUCCUAUUUUCAUCAUCAAAGAAUUACCCACUUUUUUCUUCUUCGAAAAAUGACGACUUCUGCUGUGAAGAACAACUUCUUGCCACCGGGAUUGGUGUCAAAUCUUCAGGAAGUUCUUCUUAACAGAAAGGGUGCUCAAAAUGAUAAAGAUCAGCAAUCGAAGCCGAAAGAUGAUGACCCAUCAACUCAGUCGUCGUCUUCUGACUUGGUUCCCGAUGUUGCCGCUGAUGACGCUGACAGUACUAAGCCAGUGGUAUUGGUUACUAAUGCUGAUGGAAUUGAAUCUCCUGGUCUUACUUGUCUUGUUGAUGCUCUUGUUCGUCAAGGUCUCUGUAAUGUUAAUGUCUGCGCUCCCCAAUCAGAUAAAUCGGUGGCGGGCCAUUCUUUGACACUUAAAGAAACCAUUGCAGUUACUCCGACUGACAUUCACGGUGCUACUGCUUAUGAAGUAUCUGGGACUCCUGUAGAUUGUGUGUCAUUAGCCUUGUCUGGGGCACUCUUUUCCUGGUCAAAGCCAGUCCUGGUAAUAAGUGGAAUCAACAGGGGUUCAAGUUGUGGCCAUCAAAUGUUUUACUCAGGUGUCGUAGCUGGUGCUAGGGAGGCAUUGUUUAACAGUGUUCCAUCUAUAUCGAUAUCACUUGACUGGAGGAAUGAUGAAAGUCAAGAAAGUGAUUUCAAGGACGCCGUGAGUGUUUCCUUACCAUUGAUAAAUGCAGCCAUCAGAGACAUAGAAAAGGGAGCAUUUCCUAAAAGUUGCUUGUUGCAUAUUGGAGUUCCGAAAUCUCCUCUGACAAACAAGGGAUUCAAAUUGACCAAGCAAAGUCUCUGGAGCUCUAAGCUUUGCUGGCAAGCUAAAUCAUCCACCAGAAAUCUUGCUGCUGGACGUUUUCUUCCAAAUCAACAAAGCCUUGGGAUGCAGCUCGCACAAUUAGGUCGAGAUGCUUCUGCAGCAGGUGCUGCUCGCAAAUUAGUUACUCAGAGAAAGAACAUAGAGGUUGUUGAAUCUGUUGGUAUUGCUGGGAAAUCUGAUCCGGACAGGAAAGUGAAGUACUUUAGAUUGGAGUUGCUUGAUAAGAAACAGGAAGAAGAAGACGAGGAUUUAGAUUUUAGAGCUCUCGAAAAUGGAUUUGUGGCAGUCACUCCAGUAUCUCUUGUAAUGCAUGUGGAAACAGAUGUUAAUGCAGCUGCAUCAAAGUGGAUUUCUUCUGCAUUAGAAGUGGAACAAUGAAAAGAUGAAGCUAAUAUUCAGUAUUGUUUGUUGUACAUCUUUAGAUGACUUUGUUCAGGUCAUAUUGCAAAACUUACAUGGGCCAUAGUUGUGAUGCCUCAAUUAUUUAUUUGGUUUUUCAACCUUUUAAUUUGUGUCCCGCGAAGCCAAUGCUUCCACUGUUUACUUGAAAGGCCAGCAUGUUGUAAAAGUGCCAUACUUUUUUGCUUGGUACCACAAAAUUUGUGUUUUAGGUUUGUUUUUAUUGGGCAAAUUUGUGCUGUUAGGCAGGAUGGUGGAAUCCUUGUAAACUGG
Molecule: unclassified non-coding RNA, 1646 nt
Filed under: Hevea brasiliensis (rubber tree)
Lineage: Eukaryota; Viridiplantae; Streptophyta; Magnoliopsida; Malpighiales; Euphorbiaceae
Source: RNAcentral